ACACCUGUAUUGCUAGUACGGCGAGUGAAGCGGCAACAGCUCAAAUUUGAAAUCUGGCUCUCGGGCCCGAGUUGUAAUUUGUAGAGGAUGCUUUUGAUGCGGUGCCUUCCGAGUUCCCUGGAACGGGACGCCAUAGAGGGUGAGAGCCCCGUCUGGUUGGAUGCCAAAUCUCUGUAAAGCUCCUUCGACGAGUCGAGUAGUUUGGGAAUGCUGCUCUAAAUGGGAGGUAUAUGUCUUCUAAAGCUAAAUACCGGCCAGAGACCGAUAGCGCACAAGUAGAGUGAUCGAAAGAUGAAAAGCACUUUGAAAAGAGAGUUAAAAAGUACGUGAAAUUGUUGAAAGGGAAGCGUUUAUGACCAGACUUGGGCUUGGUUAAUCAUCUGGGGUUCUCCCCAGUGCACUUUUCCAGUCCAGGCCAGCAUCAGUUUUCGCCGGGGGAUAAAGGCUUCGGGAAUGUGGCUCCCUCCGGGGAGUGUUAUAGCCCGUUGCGUAAUACCCUGGCGGGGACUGAGGUUCGCGCUUCUGCAAGGAUGCUGGCGUAAUGGUCAUCAACGACCCGUCUUGAACACGGGAACA
Molecule: ribosomal RNA, 576 nt
Filed under: Persiciospora africana
Lineage: Eukaryota; Fungi; Ascomycota; Sordariomycetes; Hypocreales; Nectriaceae
Description: partial 28S ribosomal RNA
Rfam family: Eukaryotic large subunit ribosomal RNA
Source: RNAcentral